UACGUAGGGGGCGAGCGUUGUCCGGAUUUAUUGGGCGUAAAGAGCUCGUAGGCGGCUUAGCAAGUCGGGUGUGAAAACUCCAGGCUCAACCUGGAGACGCCACUCGAGACUGCUAUGGCUAGAGUCCGGUAGGGGACCACGGAAUUCCUGGUGUAGCGGUGAAAUGCGCAGAUAUCAGGAGGAACACCGGUGGCGAAGGCGGUGGUCUGGGCCGGCACUGACGCUGGGGAGCGAAAGCGUGGGGAGCAAACAGG
Molecule: ribosomal RNA, 254 nt
Filed under: uncultured bacterium
Lineage: Bacteria
Description: partial 16S ribosomal RNA
Rfam family: Bacterial small subunit ribosomal RNA
Source: RNAcentral